CAUGCAAGUCGAGCGGACAGAUGGGAGCUUGCUCCCUGAUGUUAGCGGCGGACGGGUGAGUAACACGUGGGUAACCUGCCUGUAAGACUGGGAUAACUCCGGGAAACCGGGGCUAAUACCGGAUGGUUGUUUGAACCGCAUGGUUCAAACAUAAAAGGUGGCUUCGGCUACCACUUACAGAUGGACCCGCGGCGCAUUAGCUAGUUGGUGAGGUAACGGCUCACCAAGGCAACGAUGCGUAGCCGACCUGAGAGGGUGAUCGGCCACACUGGGACUGAGACACGGCCCAGACUCCUACGGGAGGCAGCAGUAGGGAAUCUUCCGCAAUGGACGAAAGUCUGACGGAGCAACGCCGCGUGAGUGAUGAAGGUUUUCGGAUCGUAAAGCUCUGUUGUUAGGGAAGAACAAGUACCGUUCGAAUAGGGCGGUACCUUGACGGUACCUAACCAGAAAGCCACGGCUAACUACGUGCCAGCAGCCGCGGUAAUACGUAGGUGGCAAGCGUUGUCCGGAAUUAUUGGGCGUAAAGGGCUCGCAGGCGGUUUCUUAAGUCUGAUGUGAAAGCCCCCGGCUCAACCGGGGAGGGUCAUUGGAAACUGGGGAACUUGAGUGCAGAAGAGGAGAGUGGAAUUCCACGUGUAGCGGUGAAAUGCGUAGAGAUGUGGAGGAACACCAGUGGCGAAGGCGACUCUCUGGUCUGUAACUGACGCUGAGGAGCGAAAGCGUGGGGAGCGAACAGGAUUAGAUACCCUGGUAGUCCACGCCGUAAACGAUGAGUGCUAAGUGUUAGGGGGUUUCCCGCCCCUUUAGUGCUGCAGCUAACGCAUUAAGCACUCCGGCCUGGGAGUACGGUCGCCAAGACUGGAAACUCAAAGGAAUUGACGGGGGCCCGCACAAGCGGUGGAGCAUGUGGUUUAAUUCGAAGCAACGCGAAGAACCUUACCAGGUCUUGACAUCCUCUGACAAUCCUAGAGAUAGGACGUCCCCUUCGGGGGCAGAGUGACAGGUGGUGCAUGGUUGUCGUCAGCUCGUGUCGUGAGAUGUUGGGUUAAGUCCCGCAACGAGCGCAACCCUUGAUCUUAGUUGCCAGCAUUCAGUUGGGCACUCUAAGGUGACUGCCGGUGACAAACCGGAGGAAGGUGGGGAUGACGUCAAAUCAUCAUGCCCCUUAUGACCUGGGCUACACACGUGC
RNAcentral lists this ribosomal RNA (1192 nucleotides) under Bacillus sp. (in: firmicutes). Its description in RNAcentral is "bacterial SSU rRNA". It matches the Rfam family "Bacterial small subunit ribosomal RNA", at positions 54 to 1225 of the family's 1533-position model. Lineage: Bacteria; Bacillati; Bacillota; Bacilli; Caryophanales; Bacillaceae. The record is from RNAcentral.